GCGCAGCAGGCGAGAAACCUCCGCAAUGCGGGAAACCGCGACGGGGGACCCCGAGUGCCGUGGCAACGCCACGGCUUUUCCGGAGUGUAAAAAGCUCCGGGAAUAAGGGCUGGGCAAGGCCGGUGGCAGCCGCCGCGGUAAUACCGGCGGCCCGAGUGGUGGCCGCUAUUAUUGGGCCUAAAGCGUCCGUAGCCGGGCCCGUAAGUCCCUGGCGAAAUCCCACGGCUCAACCGUGGGGCUUGCUGGGGAUACUGCGGGUCUUGGGACCGGGAGAGGCGGGGGGUACCCCUGGGGUAGGGGUGAAAUCCUAUAAUCCCAGGGGGACCGCCAGUGGCGAAGGCGCCCCGCUGGAACGGGUCCGACGGUGAGGGACGAAGGCCAGGGGAGCAAACCGGAUUAGAUACCCCGGUAGU
RNAcentral lists this ribosomal RNA (413 nucleotides) under uncultured microorganism. Its description in RNAcentral is "bacterial SSU rRNA". It matches the Rfam family "Archaeal small subunit ribosomal RNA", at positions 330 to 745 of the family's 1478-position model. The record is from RNAcentral.